RNAcentral lists this ribosomal RNA (466 nucleotides) under uncultured bacterium. RNAcentral's name for it is "partial 16S ribosomal RNA". It matches the Rfam family "Bacterial small subunit ribosomal RNA", at positions 28 to 507 of the family's 1533-position model. The record is from RNAcentral.
GAUGAACGCUGGCGGCGUGCUUAACACAUGCAAGUCGAACGAUGAAGCCCAGCUUGCUGGGUGGAUUAGUGGCGAACGGGUGAGUAACACGUGAGUAACCUGCCCUUAACUCUGGGAUAAGCCUGGGAAACUGGGUCUAAUACCGGAUAGGAGCGCCUACCGCAUGGUGGGUGUUGGAAAGAUUUAUCGGUUUUGGAUGGAUUCGCGGCCUAUCAGCUUGUUGGUGAGGUAUUGGCUCACCAAGGCGACGACGGGUAGCCGGCCUGGGAGGGUGACCGGCCACACUGGGACUGAGACACGGCCCAGACUCCAACGGGAGGCAGCAGGGGGGAAUAUUGCACAAUGGGCGAAAGCCUGAUGCAGAGACGCAGCGUGAGGGAUGACGGCUUUCGGGUUGUAAACCUCUUUCAGUAGGGAAGAAGCGAAAGUGACGGUACCUGCAGAAGAAGCACCGGCUAACUACGUG